CUCAGAUUGAACGCUGGCGGCAGGCCUAACACAUGCAAGUCGAGCGGAUGAAAGGAGCUUGCUCCUGGAUUCAGCGGCGGACGGGUGAGUAAUGCCUAGGAAUCUGCCUGGUAGUGGGGGACAACGUUUCGAAAGGAACGCUAAUACCGCAUACGUCCUACGGGAGAAAGCAGGGGACCUUCGGGCCUUGCGCUAUCAGAUGAGCCUAGGUCGGAUUAGCUAGUUGGUGAGGUAAUGGCUCACCAAGGCGACGAUCCGUAACUGGUCUGAGAGGAUGAUCAGUCACACUGGAACUGAGACACGGUCCAGACUCCUACGGGAGGCAGCAGUGGGGAAUAUUGGACAAUGGGCGAAAGCCUGAUCCAGCCAUGCCGCGUGUGUGAAGAAGGUCUUCGGAUUGUAAAGCACUUUAAGUUGGGAGGAAGGGUUGUAGAUUAAUACUCUGCAAUUUUGACGUUACCGACAGAAUAAGCACCGGCUAACUCUGUGCCAGCAGCCGCGGUAAUACAGAGGGUGCAAGCGUUAAUCGGAAUUACUGGGCGUAAAGCGCGCGUAGGUGGUUUGUUAAGUUGGAUGUGAAAUCCCCGGGCUCAACCUGGGAACUGCAUCCAAAACUGGCAAGCUAGAGUAUGGUAGAGGGUGGUGGAAUUUCCUGUGUAGCGGUGAAAUGCGUAGAUAUAGGAAGGAACACCAGUGGCGAAGGCGACCACCUGGACUGA
Molecule: ribosomal RNA, 719 nt
Filed under: Pseudomonas sp. SMCC G925
Lineage: Bacteria; Pseudomonadati; Pseudomonadota; Gammaproteobacteria; Pseudomonadales; Pseudomonadaceae
Description: bacterial SSU rRNA
Rfam family: Bacterial small subunit ribosomal RNA
Source: RNAcentral